RNAcentral lists this ribosomal RNA (406 nucleotides) under uncultured Acidimicrobiales bacterium. Its description in RNAcentral is "bacterial SSU rRNA". It matches the Rfam family "Bacterial small subunit ribosomal RNA", at positions 355 to 774 of the family's 1533-position model. Lineage: Bacteria; Bacillati; Actinomycetota; Acidimicrobiia; Acidimicrobiales. The record is from RNAcentral.
UGGGGAAUCUUGCGCAAAUGGGCGAAAGCCUGACGCAGCAACGCCGCGUGGGGGAUGAAGGCCUUCGGGUUGUAAAACCCCUUUCAGCAGGGACGAAUCAUGACGGUACCUGCAGAAGAAGCCCCGGCCAACUACGUGCCAGCAGCCGCGGUAAUACGUAGGGGGCGAGCGUUGUCCGGAUUUAUUGGGCGUAAAGAGCUCGUAGGCGGCUUGGCAAGUCGGGUGUGAAACCUCCAGGCUUAACCUGGAGACGCCACUCGAUACUGCCAUGGCUAGAGUCCGGUAGGGGACCACGGAAUUCCUGGUGUAGCGGUGAAAUGCGCAGAUAUCAGGAGGAACACCGGUGGCGAAGGCGGUGGUCUGGGCCGGCACUGACGCUGAGGAGCGAAAGCGUGGGUAGCAAACA